Molecule: long non-coding RNA, 2988 nt
Filed under: Homo sapiens (human)
Lineage: Eukaryota; Metazoa; Chordata; Mammalia; Primates; Hominidae
Description: HSALNT0315748
Source: RNAcentral
GAAAAGGGCAGUGCUGGGUUGGAACUCCACUUAGCAGCUAAAGUUCAUCCUCUGAAGUCUGGGAAGUCCAAGCUCAAGGUGAAGCCUCCUCAGGUGGCAAAGAGCAGAAGCACAAAAGAGACCAAACUCCCUCCCUCAAGCUCUUUUACAAGAACACUGAGACAUUCACAAGUGCUGAGUCCUCAAACCUACUAACCUCCUGAAGGCUACACCUCAAAUACGGAUUGAAUUUUCGCAUGAGUUUUGAGGGACACCCAUUCAAAGCAUAGCACCCUUCGGCUUCAGAGAAGCUCCAGCCCUGUUGUCACCAAGCAGGUUCCCCCUAGGCAGAGCGCCAAGAAGCAGCCCAGGCGAUCCCAAGGCGCACAAGUGCUCUCACCAGGCUGCGCGCUGGCGGGUCGGUGCACAGGGACGGGGUCGCCGCCCACGCGCGCUUGGUUCAGGGAGCCCAGGCUGUCCCUACCCGCGGCUACAAAAGCUCGCCGAGUCUUCCUGUCCACCCAAUCGCCCCACAUGUCAGCGGUUGGUCGCCUCGCGGUGCAGUGCUGGGCACGCGAGCCCCUCCCGCAGUCAUUCUCAGCACAAGCACCAGCCUGGAGCCCCGCAGCGACAGAGCUGAGAGCCCCCAAGCCGCAGAGGUCGUGCGGAGCAGGUUGCAAAUGUCUUAGAAACACACUCCUGGACCACAGCUUCAAGAGACGCAAGCAGUCACCUCAUCUGCUGGUUUCCAAGCUGCCCUGCCAGAAGCAGGUCAGGGGUCCCACAGGGGUCCUCAGUAACUCCUCAAAAUCCUCUCCCAUCAAUGGCCCCACCAGAUCAUCCCUACUUUUGAAUGCUUGUCCAAUGCAGGUUCCAGAUUUGAUUAAGUGAAACAAAGCCCCAGCUGCUGGAGCAGAGGUUCCACUUGGGUUCCACAGACACCCACAGCCCAAAUCCCUGGAGGCCUAAGGCAAUAGCUAAUUGAGACUAUGCAUCACUAUUAAGGCAUCUUCACUAAAGGGCGCUGUGGAAACGCUGCCUGAGAUGCAGACACCUGUCAGAAGGGGGCUAAAUUUCAAACAAGGAACGUGGUGUUGCAUCACAAUAAAAACAGAAGAAACACACGUGUUCUUGUGUGUAAACCCAGUCCAUGGAAGAGACCGUCUGCUUGUCCCUCCUGAUCUCUGGGCCCAGACAACCAGUAGUCACCAUUCCAAGUGAGGGGUGGCUGCAACUCUACAGCCCCGUUCGUCUCUCCUCACUGUCAAAGCUGCUGAGACCCCAGACUCGACACUUGAAAGAAACCCAUGUCUGUGAAGCACUUGUGGACCAUUCAAGAUUGUGGAAGAAUCACUCAAGAGAAGGAGAUAGCAAUAUUUGCAGAUAUGCAAACUGGCCCCUUGCAUGCACAUCCUGGAGCACGUCCUGGAGCCUUUAGAGGAGACGGCUGCUGCUGUUCCAGUCUCUCCUUAGGCAGACUUGAGUUUCUACCCACUCUUCCCAAGCAGCCGCCCCUCCGCACCCGAGCGAGCCAAAGACCUGGCGGGCUGAGUACUCACUGCGCGCUGGACACAUGCUGAGCCGGCACUGCAGGGACACAGGGCGAGCCGCUGGAUGCAGACCUGUGGCCGCGGCAGUUGGGCUUAUCUUGCCCAUGAAGUUGCCUCUGAAGAACCAAGUCCAACUGUGUAUGCUGAGAGAUGUCUGGCUACUUCCUGAUUGACAGUUCUGGCAAGGUGGCAUUGGGCCCUGGCUUUUCCUCUGGAGGCAUCAUCACUUAUAGGAAAAUGUCCCCUGAAGUCCAAGGAUCAAAGCUGCUGGAACACUGAGAAGCUGAACAAAGGAGAACUGUUUCUCAUCAAACCCAGACUUCCAGACUUCCAAUAGGGUAGAAUGAGCAAGUCAGCAAAUCAUCUUCCUUGGAAACAGUGAUAAAACUAGAUGACAUUGUCAACAACAGCCAUUUCAGAAAUCUAGAAAAUGACCAAAGGCAAACAACAAACUGAGAAGCAUUUUUUUUUCCAUGAAAAAUCGCUCUAUUUCUGCAAAAAUAGUGGGAGUCUAUGGCUUCUCAUCCAGGGCUGUUUCUCUCCCCACCCCAGCUCAGUCAGUACAAAGGUUCUGGCAGCAUGAGGCAGACUGAACAGACCUGAAGUUUGAUUGCUGGAAGAAACUGACUCCAGGUUUGGCAGAGGGUGAGAAACCUACUCCCAGCCAUGUUGUCUGGUGACACAGUGACCUUAGGGACAAGUGAAUAGGGAAGGCCAGUGAUUCAUUAACCUGAGGUUGCAGUCCUGGUUGGGGAAAGCAUCAGAAUGGCAGAUAAGCUAGAAAUUUAGUAGGGAUAUGCUGGAAAUGAGACAACCCCAAAGGGGCUUGACCCCAAAGUUGUCCACACACCCCAGCUGCCUUCUGAGCAGAUGUAGGGAGAGACCAGAGAAGGCCUAGGCUAUCCACACAUCUCUGGCUAACCCAGGCUGUAAACCUGUGGAGGAGACACAAGAGGUGGAUUGAUUGCUAAUGGGCAUAUGGGGGAUCUUACUGGUUGAUAGGAACAUUCUCAAAUUGGAUUGUGGUGAUGCUUGCACAACUCUAAGUUUAUCCCAAAUUGCUAAAUUUUACACUAAAAAGGGGUGAACUUUAGGGUAUAUAAAUUAUACAUCAAUAAAGUUGUCAUAAAGCAUUCACAUUCUAAUAAAUGGCUCUAAGAAAUAUUGUUUUGAAAAUUUUCCUUUGGUAUAUUAUGGCACUCCAAAAUCAACUUCUGUCAGAACAAUAAUUAACUAUUUCUGAUUAUAGAUAUUGGUCAUCUACAAUGAUUUAUUCAGUCUUUUAUGUCCCGCAUAAGGGCUUAGAAUGCUUUAAAUUUCUAAGACCAUCAAUAGCCAGGACUCACCUGAAAACUAUAUAUAUUUUUAAAAAGACGUAUGCUCUGGGACACCAUAUGCUAACAUUUGUUGAGCACACAGUUUGCUACAGAGGUUAAGAGGUGUACUAUUUAAAUCUAAC